RNAcentral lists this small RNA (566 nucleotides) under Pan troglodytes (chimpanzee). Its description in RNAcentral is "retained intron". Lineage: Eukaryota; Metazoa; Chordata; Mammalia; Primates; Hominidae. The record is from RNAcentral.
AGAAAACCCGAUCAUAGGACCAGGUAACCCAUUAACUCAUGAACUCCAUCAACACAGCAUCCUCCUGACAGAACCGGACAUGGGCAGGGGCCAGGGGCUCAGUCCUCCCCCUUUAUAAAGAGAUCGAGUCUCAAUGCAGGGAAGUGACUCGCCCAGUGUCACAUAGGGCCUUGGAAGGACAGGAGCAGGCUGAAGCAGCAGCAUUGAGUCUGGAGGGGACAGGAUUGGGGACAGACAGCUUUGAUUUGAGAAAUGUGAAUAGGGGCGGAGGCGUGGAGUCCAGGACCCCAGCUGUCUUGCAGCGGUGGCCAGAGGAAGCAGGAGCAGGCCUCCUGCCCUGCUGGGAGGGAGUCAGCUGUCCCACCCCCAGCCCCCUUUUCAUCCCCCGCCCCAGGCAUCUCCCUGAUCAUGUGGAACGCUCUCUACACGGCUGAGAAGGUCAUCAUUCGAUGGACCCUGCUCACCGAAGCCUGCUAUUUUGGGGUCCAGUUCUUGGUGGUCACUGCCACGCUAGCUGAGACGGGCCUCAUGUCCCUGGGGAUCCUGCUGCUCCUGGUCAGCCGCCU